GACGAACGCUGGCGGCGUGCUUAAUACAUGCAAGUCGAACGGUAAGGCCCUGCUUUUGCGGCAUUCUCGAGUGGCGCAAGGGUGUGUAUCACGUGAGUAACCUGCCCCUUACUUUGGGAUAACUCCUGUAAACUCGGGUUAAUACCGCACAGGAGCUCCUGCUGCAUGGUGGGGGAUGUAAAGUUUCGGCGUUUGGGGAUGGACUCGCGGCCUAUCAGCUUGUUGGCGGGGUAGUGGCUUACAAAGGCGCUGACGGGUAGCCGGACUGCGAGGGUGACCGGCCACAUAGGGCCUGAGAAGCCGGCCGGACGGCUACGGGAGGAAGCAGUGGGGAAUAGGGCACGAUAGGCGGAAGCCGGAUGCAGCAACGCCGCGUGCGGGAUGACGGUCGGCGGGUUGGAAAGCUGUUGCGACUGUAACGAAGAGUGAGUGACGGUAAUGGGUAAAGAAGCAACGGCUAACUACGUG
RNAcentral lists this ribosomal RNA (468 nucleotides) under uncultured bacterium. RNAcentral describes it as "partial 16S ribosomal RNA". It matches the Rfam family "Bacterial small subunit ribosomal RNA", at positions 28 to 507 of the family's 1533-position model. The record is from RNAcentral.